Molecule: ribosomal RNA, 123 nt
Filed under: Sinocyclocheilus anshuiensis
Lineage: Eukaryota; Metazoa; Chordata; Actinopteri; Cypriniformes; Cyprinidae
Source: RNAcentral
AUCAGCUUACCGGUGAGAGGAUCUUAAUUACCAGGAGUCGAGCUUACUCACUAAAGCUAAGCAGACCAGAGCCUGGUCAGUACACAGGUGGGAGACCAUUUGUGAAAAUUUAGCUUGCUGCUG